CCUACGGGAGGCAGCAGUGAGGAAUAUUGCGCAAUGGGGGCAACCCUGACGCAGCAACGCCGCGUGAGUGAGGAAGGUUUUCGGAUUGUAAAGCUCUGUCGAGCGGAAAGAAAUGCAUGAUGGCUAAUAUCCAUCAUGCUUGACGGUACCGCUAAAGGAAGCACCGGCUAACUCCGUGCCAGCAGCCGCGGUAAUACGGGGGGUGCAAGCGUUGUUCGGAAUCAUUGGGCGUAAAGAGCGUGUAGGCGGCUAGACAAGUCAGAUGUGAAAUCCCUGGGCUUAACCCAGGAAGUGCAUUUGAAACUGUCCUGCUUGAGUAAGGGAGAGGAAAGUGGAAUUCCUGGUGUAGAGGUGAAAUUCGUAGAUAUCAGGAGGAACACCGGUGGCGAAGGCGACUUUCUGGCCCUAUACUGACGCUGAGACGCGAAAGCGUGGGUAGCAAACAGGAUUAGAUACCCUGGUAGUCCACGCUGUAAACGAUGUUCACUAGGUGUUGGGGGUAUUGACCCUUUCAGUGCCGCAGCUAACGCAUUAAGUGAACCGCCUGGGGAGUACGGUCGCAAGAUUAAAACUCAAAUGAAUUGACGG
Molecule: ribosomal RNA, 588 nt
Filed under: uncultured bacterium
Lineage: Bacteria
Description: bacterial SSU rRNA
Rfam family: Bacterial small subunit ribosomal RNA
Source: RNAcentral